This 600-nucleotide ribosomal RNA is filed under the name uncultured bacterium. RNAcentral's name for it is "bacterial SSU rRNA". It matches the Rfam family "Bacterial small subunit ribosomal RNA", at positions 9 to 607 of the family's 1533-position model. The record is from RNAcentral.
GAGUUUGAUCCUGGCUCAGGACGAACGCUGGCGGCGUGCUUAACACAUGCAAGUCGAACGGAGCGCCUGUGAAAGAGACUUCGGUCAAUGGAUUGGGAUGCUUAGUGGCGGACGGGUGAGUAACGCGUGAGGAACCUGCCUUUCAGUGGGGGUCAACAGUUGGAAACGACUGCUAAUACCGCAUAACAUAUCUGCAUCGCAUGGUGUGGAUAUCAAAGAUUUAUCGCUGAGAGAUGGCCUCGCGUCUGAUUAGCUAGUUGGUGGGGUAACGGCCCACCAAGGCGACGAUCAGUAGCCGGACUGAGAGGUUGGCCGGCCACAUUGGGACUGAGAUACGGCCCAGACUCCUACGGGAGGCAGCAGUGGGGAAUAUUGGGCAAUGGGCGCAAGCCUGACCCAGCAACGCCGCGUGAAGGAAGAAGGCUUUCGGGUUGUAAACUUCUUUUAAGAGGGAAGAGCAGAAGACGGUACCUCUUGAAUAAGCCACGGCUAACUACGUGCCAGCAGCCGCGGUAAUACGUAGGUGGCAAGCGUUGUCCGGAUUUACUGGGUGUAAAGGGCGUGUAGCCGGGCUGACAAGUCAGAUGUGAAAUCCGGGGG